RNA transcript from Neodiprion fabricii, 612 nucleotides. It is a transcript of the gene named fasciculation and elongation protein zeta-2-like, with no coding region annotated. The record is from RefSeq and is a predicted model, not a curated record. Lineage: Eukaryota; Metazoa; Arthropoda; Insecta; Hymenoptera; Diprionidae. The transcript has 5 exons.
CACUUGUAUACGAUGAAAGUAUAAAAUAAAUAAUUUUAAUCAACUAUUUUCACGUAAACCAAUAACAAACAGCAAUGUUGCUAUUUCUGCACGUUUCCGAGGUAUAACCCGAGGUGGUUGGGCGUGGUUGUGGGUGAUCGAGGUGAACGAGAAGGAGGACCAGAAAGACUAGGAGAACAAGGUGGACUAGGAGGACGAGGAUUUGUGCACGUAUUUGACAACAGUGAUACCUUAUCACAUGGACACUGGCCCACCUGAUAAUCAAGCAUUACAAGUCCUCAUUAAGAUAUUAAAGGCUAUUGAUGAGGAUAGUCCAACGGUGCCCACAUUAUUAACGGACUACAUAUUGAAAGUUCUGUGCCCCACCUAGUGAUCCACUAGUACAUAUCCUCCGACGUGACAUCGCUGUGCUACGUAUAAAGAAGAAAAGAUUUAUUAAGAUGCAGAUUGCUCCUCUCUUCUUGCCAUUGUGCUUUCAUAUAGCACCACAAUAAAUCUUAUAGAAAUGAGCUCUCAUUGAGAUUUCUCUGUAUUGCUAACUCGACGCGAGAAGGCAAAAAUCAAUGUAAUGCCAUCUGUAAGGUAAUUGGACUCGUAUUUGCACUACGAGAA